CCUACGGGUGGCAGCAGUGGGGAAUUUUGGACAAUGGGCGCAAGCCUGAUCCAGCCAUGCCGCGUGCGGGAAGAAGGCCUUCGGGUUGGAAACCGCUUUUGUCAGGGAAGAAAAGGUUCUGGCUAAUACCUGGGACUCAGGACGGUACCUGAAGAAUAAGCACCGGCUAACUACGUGCCAGCAGCCGCGGUAAUACGUAGGGUGCAAGCGUUAAUCGGAAUUACUGGGCGGAAAGCGUGCGCAGGCGGUUAUGCAAGACAGAGGUGAAAUCCCCGGGCUCAACCUGGGAACUGCCUUUGUUACUGCAUGGCUAGAGUACGGUAGCGGGAGAUGGAAUGCAGAGUGUAGCAGUGAAAUGCGUAGAGAUGCGGAGGAACACCGAUGGCGAAGGCAAUCCCCUGGACCUGUACUGACGCUCAUGCACGAAAGCGUGGGGAGCAAACAGGAUUAGAUACCCUAGUAGUC
This 465-nucleotide ribosomal RNA is filed under the name uncultured bacterium. RNAcentral describes it as "partial 16S ribosomal RNA". It matches the Rfam family "Bacterial small subunit ribosomal RNA", at positions 338 to 795 of the family's 1533-position model. The record is from RNAcentral.